This 251-nucleotide ribosomal RNA is filed under the name uncultured bacterium. RNAcentral's name for it is "partial 16S ribosomal RNA". It matches the Rfam family "Bacterial small subunit ribosomal RNA", at positions 525 to 775 of the family's 1533-position model. The record is from RNAcentral.
ACGGAAGGUCCGGGCGUUAUCCGGAUUUAUUGGGUUUAAAGGGAGCGCAGGCCGUCCUUUAAGCGUGCUGUGAAAUGCCGCGGCUCAACCGUGGCACUGCAGCGCGAACUGGAGGACUUGAGUACGCACGAGGUAGGCGGAAUUCGUGGUGUAGCGGUGAAAUGCUUAGAUAUCACGAAGAACUCCGAUUGCGAAGGCAGCUUACCGGAGCGCAACUGACGCUGAGGCUCGAAAGCGCGGGUAUCGAACAG